Molecule: ribosomal RNA, 214 nt
Filed under: Psychrobacter pacificensis
Lineage: Bacteria; Pseudomonadati; Pseudomonadota; Gammaproteobacteria; Moraxellales; Moraxellaceae
Description: partial 16S ribosomal RNA
Rfam family: Bacterial small subunit ribosomal RNA
Source: RNAcentral
CUGAAACUGUUAGGCUAGAGUAGGUGAGAGGGAAGUAGAAUUUCAGGUGUAGCGGUGAAAUGCGUAGAGAUCUGAAGGAAUACCGAUGGCGAAGGCAGCUUCCUGGCAUCAUACCUGACACUGAGGCUCGAAAGCGUGGGUAGCAAACUAGGAUUAGAUACCCUGGUACGUCCUACGCCGUAAACGAUGUCUACUAGUCGUUGGGUCCCUUGAG